GGGUCACCUUUCUCAAAGACACAUGCAAUGUCAUAACAAAUUUCCAUUUAACAUGGGGUACGCUGGCAAGGAAAUUUUGAUGCGUCAUUCCUACUUGGCAAUGGCCCUCAGCACUAGUAUCCCCAGUGGCCUAAGACAUCCCACUAGGCUCCACAUCUUAAAGGUUUCCAUCACCUCCCAGUAGUACCAAGCAAGGGGCCUUUGGGGAAUAUUCAAGAUCCAAACUAUAGCAUAUACAUAUGAUUCUGGUUAGGAAUUAGGGCACAGUAUGGACAGCUCAUCACUGUGCUUAGCCAUCUGAGUAUCAACUGGAAUGCCUAGGAUGGCUGAAGAUGGCUGAGACAGUUCAACUGAGGCCAUAUGUCUAGACCCUCAGGUCUUCUCCAGUGUCUGCUGGGAUGAGAAUGUCCAAGAUGGCUCCUUCACUUCGAUGGCAUCUGCACUGGGAACAGUUGGAUAGCUAGAUGCAAGUUGAGCAUGUUUUUUCACCUGGCCAAUGUGGGCUUCCUCUUAUCAUGGGAGUCCAAGGAAAAACCAACUUCUACAUUGCAGCAUUCCAAAAAAGAAGGGAAAAUGCUAGUUCUCUUAAAGGCAUAGUCCCAUAAAGAAGUCAAGGUACCUUUGUAUGAUUUUUUUCUUAAAGCUAUCACCAUGUGCUUUAUUCUAUGCAUUAAAAGUGGAUCAUUAAGUCUAGCCCACACUUUAUUAAGCUCCAUCUCUUGAAGGGAGUAAUAUCAAAGAAUUUUUGGACAGAUGUUUUUCAAAAGCACAACCCCAACAAUACAAUCCAUUUCACAUGGAACGUUAGGUGACUUCUCUUUAUCCUUCUAGUCCUCUACUUUCUCAGAACCAUAUGAGUUCCAUUCUCUGAAAUGAAUGAGCAAUGAUAGCUAAUUUCCUCUCUCUCCUAUAGUGUUGUCACCCAAACACUCCUGCUCUCCAGCCUUUAAGGGUUUAUCUCAGUAUUUUCUUCUUAGGUUGUUCCCCCCUUAGAUAAACUCUGGUGCCAGCUAUUAAAAUAAUUAAAUUUUUACUUGUUACAUAAACUUUUAUAUAAAGAAAUUUAUUUUGAACAGAAAUUCCAUAUCCAGUCAUACUGUCAAAUGUGAGAACAAAAGAAGACAUUUGAGGAUAAGCUAGGGCUCUAAUUUUCUCUAUCGUGCACCCUCUCUGGAAAAAAAAAAUAUUACUUGAGGAUGUACUUAAACAAAUUGAUAAAGGAAUCCUAGAAAAACAUCUGGGAAACCAGAGACAGACCUUGGUGCUAAAGCAUGAGAGGACUGGAAAAAAUCCUAAUUUGACAACUAUGUUGCAGACCCAAAAUACAAUUUAUCAAAACUGGAUUUGGAAAUUAGAGGUGUCUGGGACAAAUACUUCAAGAAGAAAAUAUAGAUGCACAAAUUGAGUAAAGUUGAAAUCUGGAAGUUCUUAAAGAUGAAACAAGGAUAAAAUUUCCACUAACAAGAAAUGAGAGUACAGUUAAAAACUCUGGGUGGGCAAAAUCUAUUCUAGAAAGUCAUGGUCAAACUAAAAUGCACAGGAUUUGGGACAACUGUUAGUAAGGAACAAAGACCAACAAAUAGCAAUCUAAACUGUUGAGGGCCACAGCUGAGUUGGGAUGAUGCAUGGCAUUAUGCCAGAAGGGAGUGGUUGAGAGGUGACGCCAGCGAGCCAUUGAGAUGAUGAUGGUUAUGUUAAACUGUGUAUUCAGUUGUAUAUUAGACCUUUACUAUCCGGUAAUAGGGCAGCUCUUGCUGCCUGGGCACCGGCUACUUUGGAGUUUCUGUUGAAUUCUCACAGGUUCCGAGAGUGAAUGCACUUGCAGCCCGCAGCCCGGUGGAGUGGGAGAGAGUUCCCUGGGAAUGUGCGUGGAGUGCUGGUGGAGUUCAGGCAAUAAAGUUUCCUGUUUGAACAUACAAGUGCUUUGUGGCGGCUCGCUUAUUUCUGCCCAGCCAGACUGCGGCAUAAAGCAAAGGUUCUAAGGAUGGGAGAAAGAUUUCCUCUGAGGAACACCAAUGGCAGUGGAACCGGAGAGGUGGAGAUCUUAGGGUGAAUCCACAGAUUUGAUAACUGAUGAGGUUGUUGUAACACAGCUUUCAUGGUUCUGGAGGUGAAAAGUUCAAAAUCAAGAUGUCAUCAGGACCAUGCUCCCUCUGAAGGGUCUUGGGAAGUAUUCUUCUUUGCUUCUUGCUUAUUUCUGAUGGUUCCAGCAGUUGAUAUUCCUCGGUUUAUAGCAGCACAAUCCCAAUCUUUACCUCCCAUCUUCACAUGCUGCCUUCUUCCUGUGUGUUUCCAAGUCUCCCUUUCUUUAUAAAGACACCCAUCAUUUUUAGGGCCACUCUGAUCUCACAUGACUUUAUCUUAACAUGAUUAUAUUUGCAAAGAUCCUAUUUCCAAAUAAAGUCAUAUUCACAGGUACUGGAGUUUAGGACUUGAACAGAUUUGUUUGGGAUUAAAAUUCAACCCAUUAUAAACUCUCAUUUUCCAUUACUCAACUUCAAUAGUAACUUAUUUCUAUGGUUUUAAAUGUUUAUUAUCUCUGAAAUUCAUGUUGAAAUUUAGUUAUCAUUGUAACAGUAAUAAGAGAUGAGACCUUUAGUAGGUGAUUAGGCCCAGAGGUCUGUCCCAGAAUGGAUUAAUGGCAUUAUCACAGGAGUGGAUUCUUUAUCCCAGAGGUAGAUUCAAGGAAGGAAGGAAGGA
Ictidomys tridecemlineatus (thirteen-lined ground squirrel) is the source of this 2700-nucleotide non-coding RNA. Lineage: Eukaryota; Metazoa; Chordata; Mammalia; Rodentia; Sciuridae. The record is from RefSeq and is a predicted model, not a curated record.